RNAcentral lists this ribosomal RNA (497 nucleotides) under uncultured bacterium. RNAcentral describes it as "partial 16S ribosomal RNA". It matches the Rfam family "Bacterial small subunit ribosomal RNA", at positions 28 to 507 of the family's 1533-position model. The record is from RNAcentral.
GAUGAACGCUGGCGGCGUGCCUAAUACAUGCAAGUCGAGCGAACAGAUGAGGAGCUUGCUCCUCUGACGUUAGCGGCGGACGGGUGAGUAACACGUGGAUAACCUACCUAUAAGACUGGGAUAAAUUCGGGAACCCGGAGCUAAUACCGGAUAAUAUAUUGAACCGCAUGGUCCAAUAGUGAAAGACGGUUUUGCUGUCACUUAUAGAUGGAUCCGCGCCGCAUUAGCUAGUUGGUAAGGUAACGGCUUACCAAGGCAACGAUGCGUAGCCGACCUGAGAGGGUGAUCGGCCACACUGGAACUGAGACACGGUCCAGACUCCUACGGGAGGCAGCAGUAGGGAAUCUUCCGCAAUGGGCGAAAGCCUGACGGAGCAACGCCGCGUGAGUGAUGAAGGUCUUCGGAUCGUAAAACUCUGUUAUUAGGGAAGAACAAAUGUGUAAGUAACUAUGCACGUCUUGACGGUACCUAAUCAGAAAGCCACGGCUAACUACGUG